RNAcentral lists this ribosomal RNA (468 nucleotides) under uncultured bacterium. RNAcentral's name for it is "partial 16S ribosomal RNA". It matches the Rfam family "Bacterial small subunit ribosomal RNA", at positions 28 to 507 of the family's 1533-position model. The record is from RNAcentral.
GACGAACGCUGGCGGCGUGCUUAACACAUGCAAGUCGAACGGAAAGGCCCUGCUUUUGUGGGGUGCUCGAGUGGCGAACGGGUGAGUAACACGUGAGUAACCUGCCCUUGACUUUGGGAUAACUUCAGGAAACUGGGGCUAAUACCGGAUAGGAGCUCCUGCUGCAUGGUGGGGGUUGGAAAGUUUCGGCGGUUGGGGAUGGACUCGCGGCUUAUCAGCUUGUUGGUGGGGUAGUGGCUUACCAAGGCUUUGACGGGUAGCCGGCCUGAGAGGGUGACCGGCCACAUUGGGACUGAGAUACGGCCCAGACUCCUACGGGGGGCAGCAGUGGGGAAUAAUGCACAAUGGGCGGAAGCCUGAUGCAGCAACGCCGCGUGCGGGAUGACGGCCUUCGGGUUGUAAACCGCUUUCGCCUGUGACGAAGCGUGAGUUACGGUAAUGGGUAAAGAAGCACCGGCUAACUACGUG